GGUUUUGAGCUAAGGGUUUAAGGUUUAGGAUUUAGAGUUGAAAGUUUGGGGUUCAGGGUUUAGAGUUGAUGUUUUAGGGUUUUGAGUUGAAGGUUUAGGGUUUAGAGUUUAUGUUUUAGGGUUUAGGGUUUAAAGUUGAAAGUUUAGGGUUUAGAGCUGAUGUUUUAAGGUUUAGAAUUGAUGGUUUAGGGUUUAGAGUUUAGAGCUGAGGUUUUAAGUUUAGAUUGGUUAACCUUAGGGUUUAUUUUUAUCAAAGUUAAUCAUAGGUUAUAAAUGUCUUUUACCUUUCAUUAAAAGAGAGGGU
RNAcentral lists this long non-coding RNA (304 nucleotides) under Brassica napus (rape). Its description in RNAcentral is "long non-coding RNA (BNAP_LNC011614)". The record is from RNAcentral. Lineage: Eukaryota; Viridiplantae; Streptophyta; Magnoliopsida; Brassicales; Brassicaceae.